This is a non-coding RNA of Oncorhynchus mykiss (rainbow trout), 2377 nucleotides long. NCBI's taxonomy places the organism in Eukaryota, Metazoa, Chordata, Actinopteri, Salmoniformes, Salmonidae. The record is from RefSeq and is a predicted model, not a curated record.
UCUAUGACAACGGCAGUAAACAACAUGGCGCCGUGUGUGUGAUCUCAACUUCAUCACCCCCCCCGUCUCUCGCUGAAAAGUAGAACAACAUUCAAUACUUUUCUUGGAAAUGCGUUGAUGAAAUGAGUGUAUCUCCCGUUUUUUUUAACUGAAUUUACGUGAUGAUAAAUGUUUGACAUUGAGUGCAGUUUUGUGAUUGCUACUGUUGUUGACUGACUGUAUGCUACUGUAUCAACAGUUCGCUGUUUUAAAAAAAAAUAUGCAACAUUUCAAAAAGUAGCUAACAACCUGUCAAAGUUGUAUUUGGUAAGAUAUACCUAUUCAUUUUGAAACCAGGAAGGCCUAUCGAUAUGUCGUCAAAAAGUGACAACAAGCUCAGCACCUGUGGCAACCGGAGGAGAUCGAGCGCGACUAAAGAGGAUGUGAAGCGGAUGUGUCCGCAGCAGCGGGCCCGGUACCUGGCCUACGAGGAGCCGCCGAAAGAGGCGAAGACCUGGAUGGCGAUGUCUCGGCAGCGGGUGUCCGCCUGGGAGUCUUCCGGGGCUGGGGGGAAGAGACAUACAACUGUCGGUCAUCAUCACUGCGACGAGAGGGACGAGGAAGAGAAGAAACGGCAAGACCUGAUCAUAGGACAGCUGAAGGCCGCGGAAGCCCGCAACAGAGUUCGACAGAUGAGACUGCAGUAUCGGAGUAUGAGGACCCAGGAAAUCAAUCUAAUGAUUUCGUGCCAGUCCAGCGCCCAGACCGCCGUCCGUCUUGAGUUGCUGCUGCCAACGGAGGAAAGCAAGAUAAAUACCAUCGAUUGUCUGGACAAACUGCAGAGAAAGCGAGUCGAGGAGAUCCUGGACGACGAGAAAGGAUUGACGAUAACCCGCCGUUGAGAGUCGAGACCUGCCGUCCUCCUGCUUUGUAACUGUCCUCCUGCUUUGUAACUGUCCUCCUGCUGUAACUGUCCUCCUGCUGUGUAACCGUCCUCCUGCUUUGUAACUGUCCUCCUGCUUUGUAACCGUCCUCCUGCUGUGUAACUGUCCUCCUGCUGUGUAACUGUCCUCCUGCUGUGUAACUGUCCUCCUGCUGUGUAACUGUCCUCCUGCUUUGUAACUGUCCUCCUGCUUUGUAACUGUCCUCCUGCUUUGUAACUGUCCUCCUGCUUUGUAACCGUCCUCCUGCUUUGUAACCGUCCUCAUGCUUUGUAACCGUCCUCCUGCUUUGUAACCGUCCUCCUGCUUUGUAACCGUCCUCCUGCUUUGUAACUGUCCUCCUGCUUUGUAACCGUCCUCCUGCUUUGUAACCGUCCUCCUGCUGUGUAACUGUCCUCCUGCUUUGUAACUGUCCUCCUGCUUUGUAACCGUCCUCCUGCUGUGUAACUGUCCUCCUGCUGUGUAACUGUCCUCCUGCUUUGUAACCGUCCUCAUGCUUUGUAACCGUCCUCCUGCUUUGUAACCGUCCUCCUGCUGUGUAACUGUCCUCCUGCUUUGUAACUGUCCUCCUGCUUUGUAACCGUCCUCCUGCUGUGUAACUGUCCUCCUGCUGUGUAACCGUCCUCCUGCUUUGUAACCGUCCUCAUGCUUUGUAACCGUCCUCCUGCUUUGUAAUCGUCCUCCUGCUGUGUAACCGUCCUCCUGCUGUGUAACCGUCCUCAUGCUUUGUAACCGUCCUCCUGCUUUGUAACCGUCCUCCUGCUUUGUAACUGUCCUCCUGCUUUGUAACCGUCCUCCUGCUGUGUAACCGUCCUCCUGCUUUGUAACCGUCCUCCUGCUGUGUAACUGUCCUCCUGCUUUGUAACUGUCCUCCUGCUUUGUAACCGUCCUCCUGCUGUGUAACUGUCCUCUUGCUGUGUAACCGUCCUCCUGCUUUGUAACCGUCCUCCUGCUGUGUAACUGUCCUCCUGCUUUGUAACCGUCCUCCUGCUGUGUAACUGUCCUCCUGCUGUGUAACCGUCCUCCUGCUGUGUAACCGUCCUCCUGCUGUGUAACCGUCCUCCUGCUGUGUAACUGUCCUCCUGCUGUGUAACUGUCCUCCUGCUGUGUAACUGUCCUCCUGUGUAACAAAAAGGGAACUGUCUAUUUCACUGCUCUGGCUUCAUAGAAACUCGACUGUACAUUUUCUUACCGUCUCCGUAACUACUAUAACUGCAGUUAGGUCCCCUGCUGCACUCAUCGAACAAGCACCUAGAAGUUUAUAAACAGCCCUUCCUCCAUGACUGCUGCAGUUGGUUUGCUUCUGCUAUAAACGGCUGGCUGUGGAAGCCUCCUGGAGAACAUUGUCCCUCAACUGGCCCCCAAUUCCCUUUAUAGUGCACUACUUUAGACCAGGACCCAUAGGGGUAGUGUACUACUAUAGACCAGGGCCCUAUGGGGGUAGUGUACUACUAUAG